CGAGAUGCCUCUCUUAUCGGGCGAAUAGGACUCUGAACAAGCUCUAUUUUCCCUGAUCAGGAAGGCAUUCUCCGUUUAACGCGCCGACCCCAACUAAACGUCCAUCGGUGGAUUCAG
Frondihabitans sp. is the source of this 117-nucleotide small RNA. It matches the Rfam family "Actinobacteria sRNA Ms_IGR-7". Lineage: Bacteria; Bacillati; Actinomycetota; Actinomycetes; Micrococcales; Microbacteriaceae. The record is from Rfam.